Small nuclear RNA from Lontra canadensis (Northern American river otter), 108 nucleotides. Lineage: Eukaryota; Metazoa; Chordata; Mammalia; Carnivora; Mustelidae. The record is from RefSeq and is a predicted model, not a curated record.
GUGCUCACUUCAGCAGAACAUAUACUAAAAAUCUGAAUGAUACAGAGGAGUUUAGCGUGGCCCCUGUGAUAGGAAGACAGGCUAAUUCGUUAAGCAUUCCAUAUAUAA